This 251-nucleotide ribosomal RNA is filed under the name uncultured bacterium. RNAcentral describes it as "partial 16S ribosomal RNA". It matches the Rfam family "Bacterial small subunit ribosomal RNA", at positions 526 to 776 of the family's 1533-position model. The record is from RNAcentral.
CGUAGGGACCAAGCGUUGUUCGGAUUUACUGGGCGGAAAGGGCGCGUAGGCGGCAAUGCAAGUCACUUGUGAAAUCUCCGAGCUUAACUCGGAACGGUCAAGUGAUACUGUCUUGCUAGAGUGCAGAAGGGGCAAUCGGAAUUCUUGGUGUAGCGGUGAAAUGCGUAGAUAUCAAGAGGAACACCUGAGGUGAAGACGGGUUGCUGGGCUGACACUGACGCUGAGGCGCGAAAGCUAGGGUAGCAAACGGG